GCCUUCGUGGUGUAACGGUUAGCACACUCAACGCAUAUUCGAGAGGUCCAGGUUCGAGUCCCGGCAAGGGCA
This 72-nucleotide transfer RNA is filed under the name Stegodyphus mimosarum. It matches the Rfam family "tRNA". Rfam says of the family: Transfer RNA (tRNA) molecules are approximately 80 nucleotides in length. Their secondary structure includes four short double-helical elements and three loops (D, anti-codon, and T loops). The record is from Rfam by way of RNAcentral. Lineage: Eukaryota; Metazoa; Arthropoda; Arachnida; Araneae; Eresidae.